This 253-nucleotide ribosomal RNA is filed under the name uncultured bacterium. RNAcentral's name for it is "partial 16S ribosomal RNA". It matches the Rfam family "Bacterial small subunit ribosomal RNA", at positions 524 to 776 of the family's 1533-position model. The record is from RNAcentral.
UACGUAGGGCGCAAGCGUUGUCCGGAAUUAUUGGGCGUAAAGAGCUCGUAGGCGGUCUGUCGCGUCUGCUGUGAAAUCCCGAGGCUCAACCUCGGGCUUGCAGUGGGUACGGGCAGACUAGAGUGCGGUAGGGGAGAAUGGAAUUCCUGGUGUAGCGGUGGAAUGCGCAGAUAUCAGGAGGAACACCGAUGGCGAAGGCAGUUCUCUGGGCCGUAACUGACGCUGAGGAGCGAAAGCGUGGGGAGCGAACAGG